UCCCUGUUGCUAUGGCAAAUAUAGGAAUCUUGCAAACUCCUUUUUUAUUCCAAUAACAAUUUGAACGAACCAUGGUUUAGGAUUGAAAGAGUUGACUGGCCCAAGGUCACUCAGAUGGUUUUGUGCAUGGAGUGGCGUGGGGGAGUGACAUCAUGGUCUCCUGCUUUCUAAUCUGGACCUUAACCACUAGACCAAACUGGCUGUCUAAAAUUACUCCUUCUUGAGCUGUGACAGUUCUGGAGAGAUGUCCCUAAGGUUAAUCUCUAACUCUUAAAAAGGUGUUAGAAGAACUGAGAAAUGAGAUGAAAUAAGAAGCAAUCUUCUGCUUAUGAAGGAACCUCUUCAUUUUUCUUCACAACCACUCCCUUGGGAUCCAAUCAAAAGCUGAUUUGAAAUGAAGGCUACAAAAACAAAAUGUCUGGGUGAAGAGGAAUAUUAUUUGGCUGAAUGGGGAUGAACCAAUCAUAAAUCCAGAAUUUCUUAGUCUC
Long non-coding RNA from Pantherophis guttatus, 488 nucleotides. RefSeq lists it as uncharacterized. NCBI's taxonomy places the organism in Eukaryota, Metazoa, Chordata, Lepidosauria, Squamata, Colubridae. The record is from RefSeq and is a predicted model, not a curated record.